CAAAAUCCUCAAGGCACAGCACCCAGGGUGAUGACUGACCGUGAGCUUCUCCUCAGUCUUCACCAGAAGGUUGAUCGCAAUCAUAAAUGGGUCAAGCGUCAGUUUGGUUCAAUUCUUCACAACAUGACUGCUACCCACAAUGCAGUGAAGAAAAACCACUACUACCUUCAUGAAACCCUCAACCGCACCUGGGCUGUUCUGUCGCACAUAUAUGGUGAAGAAGAUUUGAAGAAAAUGGGUCUCAAGGAAGAUCUUAACUGGGCUGCACCUCCUCCGAAGAAGUACAAGAAGGUCAAGGUUCUUGGUGGCCAUCUCCUAUUCUUCAUCACGUGA
RNAcentral lists this ribosomal RNA (333 nucleotides) under Triticum aestivum (bread wheat). Its description in RNAcentral is "partial small subunit ribosomal RNA". Lineage: Eukaryota; Viridiplantae; Streptophyta; Magnoliopsida; Poales; Poaceae. The record is from RNAcentral.